GGUCUUUGGUUCCAUGCAAACAACACAGCCAACUGAAACGUGGUUACUUCCAAAUCGUACUGACCUACUUCGUUUUUAAAUGUUAUCUGAAACAGAGAAUGGGCUUCACACUGGUAAUGGAGAGUUGGCAACGGCACUGUGUGUGAUGAGGACACAAACCAGGACUUAUGCUAACGUCUGCAUGGGAAGAGGCAAUCCCUUUAAUCCAAGUAUGAACUGAGCUGGCUCAACCUGUGCUGCAGCUGUGCCACAGGUCUCUUCCUGCAUGCACCGCAUCCCGGCUUUCUCAGCGUAAGCAAGGCCUACCUUCAACCACCUAUUUCCUCCUCACAAUAAGGAAACGAGGAUCAUCCUGAAAAGCUUCUUUGACCAGUUUACUGAAUCUAUUGAACAGUUUCUCACUGGGCAUGGUAGCACACAUGUUUAAUCCAGUACCAGCAAAGGCAGGUGGAGCUCUGAGUCCAAGGUAAGCCUGAUCUAUGUAGUGUGUACCAGGACAGCCAGGGCUAUGCAGAGAAACUCUUGUCUCAAUAAACAAAAGAAAACCAAAAAGUAGUUCUCACUGGCCUGGUAGGAUGGGGAUCUAAGUGUCUCCACUUACGCAGUGGUGACAUUACAAAUAAAUGCCAUCGUGAACAGAUUAUCAUUAUUAUAUUCAUUUAUUUAUGUGCAGGGACGGGUAUCUCCCCACAGCAUACAUAUAGAGGUAAGAGGACAACUUUUACCUUGUAGGUCUACCAUGUGGGCCCCAGAUAUUAAACUCAAGUGUUGUCAGGUUUGAUGGCAAGUACCUUAAUUCACUGAGCCAUCUCACUGGCCCACAUUUGGCUUUUUCAAACUCCUAUCCUUGUGCCUGCAAGCCAAAUUCUUUACCAAGUGGGCCAUCUCCCCAGUCAGAUAUGCAAUUUCAAUAUUUAUUUUUAAUUAUGUGUAGUUGUGUAUGUACCUGAUGUGAGUGAAAGUGUCCAUAUGAAUUAGAGAUACUGGACCCCUGGAGGCAAAGUUACAGGCAGUUAUGAGUGUCUGAUAUGGGUGCUAGGAAUCAAACUGCAGUCCUCUGUGAAAGCAGUGUAUGUUCUUAACCACUGCCUCUCUAGCACCAGAUACUAAGUUUUUAAAGCAAUCCAAGGGGGCUAGGUAUGGUGGCAUAUACAUUUAACCCUAGCACUAAGGGAGUAGAUCUUCCAGUGUGAGACCAGCCUGGUCUCCAAAGUGAGUUCCAGGACUGCCAGAGCUACAGUGAGACCCUGUCUCAAAAACCAACCAACGAAAACAUACAAAGCAGUCUGAGGAUGAGGCUGUGGCUCACUGAUCCAGGCCAUGCUUACUUAUCAGCCAAGUGUCUAAGGCUCUGGAACUGACAUCCAGCACUAACAAGAAAAAAAUUAAAGUUAACAUGGAAAAUAUGCAGAACUUACUGCCUGUGCUUGCUUAAUAAAUUCAAGGAUAUCUUCUUUUAAAGCCUGAUGAAUUUUUGAUGAGCCUUUAUCAUCCCAGAGACAGACAGCAUGUACAUCCCUGUAAAAAUAAAGCAGACCAGGAGUGAAACAGGCACACAGAGAAGCAUUCUCCUUAAGUCCUACGUUAGUACAGUUUCCACAAACCACUCUUUGGAACUAAGCACUCUUUGGAAGGUAUCUCGAAGGGGUGUGGUGCAUGCCUGCAGUCCCAACACUGGGAGGCAGAGAGAGGAGGACCCAGAAAACUUGCAGUCAGCCAAUUGAGUCAACAUGGUGAGCUCCAAGUUUAGUAGCUCUGAAAAAAUGAAAAAAUUGAUAUAAAACCUGGAAAGAUGAAAGUUCAGGUAAAAAGAACGCUCAUUAAGCUGUACUUUUUCAAAACUACUGCUGAAAAAUUUCUCUUCUUCAAUGCAAAUGGUUAGAGUUGAUUUCUAAGCUGCUGUGAUUGCUUUCCAUUCAGACGAAAUCAUACCUACUGGCAUUGCCUAGGACACAGCUGAGACAAUUCCUAGUUCUUUCUGCACAUGCCUUGCAGAAAAUUUUGCAAAUUUUGCUCACCUCAAAAUUUCAGUGUGACAGGUAAGCAAACUGAAACUAACACAGGAACAGUCACCUGAUGCCAAGGCCUGGGUUGAAUUAGCUGGCUGAACUGGGAAGCCCAACGUGGAUAGCUUCCCAACACUGGCUUUGCUUGCUAACAAAACUGUGUCUUCUGGAAUUAAACAGGCUUGUGUCCAAUGCCCUGACCCUAGAUACUACAGACUAUAGUCCUGGAAGCUUUAGGCUCUGUGCCUACAUUAAUGUUUCAGCCUUAACUAUGUUCCUGUUCCCACCUUCCCCAACCCAGUACUGGGGUUAAACCAGGGUCCUGUCCAUGUUAAGCAAGUAUUCUACCACUAGAACAAAAGUUAGUUUUAAAAAAGGGGGUGGGGUUGGGGAUGCUACAGAAUGGCUCAGUGAUUAGGAAGACCUGUUUGUUACUCUCCUAGGACUGGGUUUCAGUUCCCAUCAGUCACAUGGAGGCUUACAACUCUUCAAGCCAUCUAGCAUACUCUUCUGGCCUCCUCAGGAAGCAGGCAUGCACACUAUGUACUUGUAUAUAUGUAGGCAAAACACUCAUGCAUAAUAAAUUAAAUUAGCAGUUCACACAGAAACUGAAGAAGAAAACCACUGGCUUUCUAAGGUAAACCUUGUGGAUAAUAAGUUGUUUAAAUCUGCUACACUGCCUCAGACACUGUUUUCUAGACAUCUGGCCAAGGACUAAGCAGCAACAAAACAGAUCUGAGAUUCAAUUCCUUAGAAAAAUCUGUUUGUAAGGCUAGCCUUAGUCUGGAAUCUGAGAACUGCCAGUUUCCCACAUCUAAAUAAACCUUCCCGGAAAUGAUAACACUGGUUCAUGUAUCUAAACUGUUAAUACAAACAUCCUGAAUUUAUACUAACUCUUCCUAGGAGUCCAGAGUUUGACUAUAUAGCCACUUCAUUAACUCUUUUUGUUUUUUUUUUGUUUUUUUUUCCAGAGCUGGGGACCAAACCCAGGGCCUUGCGCUCGCUAGGCAAGCACUCUACCGCUGAGCUAAAUCCCCAACCCCCUUCAUUAACUCUUAAUAACAUAUCACAUGUUGUCAACACCUUGCUGCUGAAGAAAUUAAAUGUCCCAUGACUGGAGAGACGUCUCAGCAGUCAAGAGCACUUGUUAUUUUUACAGAGGAGCUAAGGCCAUUUUCUAGCUAGCAUCCACAUGGUGGCUCACAAACUCCAUUUCCAGGGGAUCCAAGACUCUCUUCUGUCCUCCAUCAGUACCAAGUAUACAUAUAGCACAUACACAUACAUGCGAGCAAAAUACUUAUACGUAUAAAAUGAGAUAAACAAAUCUAAGAAAAAAAUGUAAUGCCCCAGGUGAAUCCACUGGAAAAGGACUUUUGGAAAUUUGUGCUUUUAAUCUCCUCCUUAAAUCUUCCAAUUUCAGCCCUUUUGCCUUUUCCCUGUAUGAUUAGGUUUGUAAGGUCAGAGAACCUAGACUCUGUCUUGGGAAUCUCCAAGACAGCCAGUAACAAUACACAGGUUUUCUUACCACUUAAACUCUUACUGUCAAUCCAGUAUGUAAAGCCACCAAAACCCGCUUUGUUAACAAACAGAAUUACUGGAUUACUUACGAAAACAGAUCAAACCACUGCUGCUUUGUUACAGAUUCCUGGCGUAAAAGCUUCAAAACAAUUGGACGCAUGAAAUCCCACUUGUCUUCAAACUGGAGAGAACCUUUAUUCUUAAAAAUAAAAAAGAUAAAAUAUGGUUUAAUUUUAAAGUAAUUAAAUAUAAAAGUCUUACAUACAUUUCUCUAAAAAUAUAUAUUUCCUAAGGAAAAAUAAAGAGAUCAAAUUUAGAACAAAUACCUUUCUAAAACAGAGUUCUUAUAGGCUUAAUUUUAUAGCAGGGAAUCAAAGAUAACUAUAAACACAAAUCAGAAAUUUGUGGAAUUAUAGGUCAGAAUCACAGCCUGUACAUGAGUCCCUGGGGUCAUCCUAGGAGGAGGGGAAGAAAGAGACUGCAAAGACUAAAACCUAGUGCACAACAGCAUACAGGGAAGAAUUUGUUAUAAAGAGUGUGGCCUUUCCUCUUGGUUCCUUCUGGUAGAUACUCCCCGGACAACUGGAAUGUCUACCUAAUAUGAACCUUAGGUCCUGUGUAAGGGACAAGAUAAUAAAUGUGGUUUUGGUAGGGGACUGGCAGAGUCAACAUGGUCUCAAUAUUGGGGCUGGCCAAUUUAAAAGACUAACAAUGUAAUUGAGAGAAGGGCUUUGUGUCAAUGUAGAGUCCAAAGUAUCCAUGGACAUAAACAUUCUUAUCUUUGUGAAGAAAUUCCACACAAAUUGCCAGGGAAAAAGUUAGAUUAGCUUCCUUAGGCAUAAUUCAUGUAUAUUGUCAUACACUGACCAGAGGGAGGACAACAGAAGCUGUACCUCGGGCCUCCUAGACUCCAUCCUAUAGGCCUCUCUCUUAAGCUGAUCUUGAACUGAGUGCUGCAGCCAUAUAACAAAUAACAGUAAUUAUGCCAGCCUGCAGUAAAGCCUGAGUCUUUCUGCUGUUGAAGAUGAAUGGAUAUCUUACAGAGAGACUUAAUCCUCUAAUUUCGUAGCUGUAUUACAUUCUUCACACUGCAAAGCUGUCAGCUGAAGAGAUAGCUCAGCAGUUAAGAGCUCUUGUUGCCCUUGCAAAGACCUGGGUUUAAUCCUAGACCCACGCUAACACAUGACUCUCUGCAACUCCACUUCUACGAGAUCUGACGCCCUCUUCAGGCUUCCAGGGACACCAACCAUGCACACAGUGCACAUACACGCAUGUAAAAUACUUAUGUCCAUGGAAGUAUCAUUUUUAAAAAAUCAGGAGGAAGGGAAGCUGGGUGAGGUGGCACCCACCUCCCAGAAUUUACGAGACAGAAGCAGGUGAAGGUCUGAGUUCAAGGUCAGCCUGCUCCACAUAGUGAGUUCUAGAACAAGCCAUAGCUACAAAGACCGGGUUCAAAAGAAACAAAAUAAAACAACGCUAUAAAUCCACAAAAGCCCACCAGGCAGUAGUACACUCACCUUUAAUCCCACUGUACUUUUGUGGAGUUUUUGUUUUUUUUGUUUUUUGUUUUUUUUUUUUCCAAGACAGGGUUUCUCUGUGUAGACCAGGCUGGCCUCAAAGUCCGAGAGCUAUCCACCUCUGCCUCCCAAUGGCUGGGUUUAAAGGGAUGGGCCAUUACCACCUGGCUUACUUCUAAUUCUUAAUAUAUCACGUUACAUAAAUAAUUAUCAAGUGACAAAGAAAAUAUCUGUAUACCUGUAAAAGUCUAAAAUUUUAAGUACUUUUGAUCCACUGUUGGUUAAAAUCAAUGCUAAAAGAAAAUGCCUCAUCUAACAAGCUAAUAAAAUCUUGGCAUCAAAUUUGAGAGCAACACGAGACACAAAGGAAACAUAUAUAAAGAUUUAAAUGAGCAUUAUCAUACUGAACAUUAGUCCAUCCUAAGCAUUUUGUCCUACGAACAGUAUCUUAUUAGGAGAAAAACAAAUUAGUCACAGCACCAAACAGAAAGAAGGAGCAACUUCCUAUGUACCAGCCAAGAGCUUAGCUCCUAUUCUAGCUAAAUGUAUUCAUAUGACUUGUUCUGGCCAAUAAAGUUCAUUUCUUUUCUUUUUUGACUCCCCAUUUGUUUUCUAGUAGAGCAGCACUAAAUAUUUUAUGAAACUCCUGAUUUGUUUUUAUAUACUUUACUUAAAUUAUAUUAAUUUUUAUGUCUUCCAAUGUGGGUACAUGAGUGCCAUGGCGUGCAUGUGGAGGUCAGAGGACAAUUUCUGAAUUUAGGUUCUCUUCUACCUUGAGAGUUGCAGAGGACUGAAGUUAUCAGGCUUGGCAACAAAAGUUUUAUUAGCUGGUCUGACUUGUCAGACCACACAAAUGUUUUUAAGGAUACUGCUUAGUCCAAUCAUUUAUUGCUGGAUUUUUUUUUGUUGUUGUUCUAUUUGCUGACCUUUAUUUUGGAGUAGCGGUGGCCAUCCUGGAAUUUGCUCUGUAGACCAGUCUGGCCUUGAAACUCACAAGAGACCUGCCUGUCUCUGCCUCCCAGUGCUGGGAUUAAAGGUGUAAGCCACCACCGCUUAUCAUAGAUUCUUAACCCAAUCAUAUACUGCAUGAAAUCUGCAAACCUCCUGAAUUAUACUUCAGAAACCAUUUUCAACAUAUCCUCUGACAACCUACAUCAAAUCUUCUGGUGUAGUAACUUUACCUAAGAUUCCUAAACCUACCACAGACCUACUGAACCCACUAGAAUUCAGAAUCAGCAUGCUUAUCAAAUGAUAAAUUCAUGUAGUUGUGAGUCAGUCUAUGGCACCAAAACUUAUGAACUACUAACCACCAUCAUAUAAAACUAAAAGGAAGUGAUGUUUCUUACACUCACUUACAAAGGUUACCCUAAGUUAGUCUGUUGCUCCAAGUGCCUACUGCUAUCGCUUAGUAGUAUUAUAUGUAAUAUAUACGUAUAUAUACUAUAUAAUAAAGACACCUGAGAGAUGUGCCAACAUUAGCUGAGCCUUUUUCCCUUCACCAACUACAGAAUUUAAGUGAGCCAGGCACAGUGGCAUAGAACAUUAAACAGCACUCAGGUGGCAGAUGCCCGAACUGAGUUCCAGGUCAGCCUGAUCUAUAAAGUAAAUUCCAGGACAAUGAAAGCUACACAGUUAGACCCUGUCUAAACAGAAGAACUUAGGUAAAUUGAAAGGUUAAUUUUUGUUCUCCUUAUGGAGCUAGCUAAUGAGUUUAGCCAGAUUUGUGAUCCUAAAUUAUACAUUAUGUAAGGCUAACUUUAUGCCUGGCUAUCUAUUAUUUUUUUCUACUGCUACUAUUCUCCUGUAGCUUCAUUUCUCCUUCUAAAAAAAUAUAUUUUAUAUUUUAUGUAUGUGUGUGUCUGUAUGUGUGUAUGUAUGUGCAUGUGUGUAGCUGCUGUAAGAUACCAGGUGAGUGCUGGGAACAGAACCCAGGUAUCUAACAAAACAACCAGUGAUCUUUUUUUUUUUUCCUUUUCUUUUUUUCGGAGCUGGACCGAA
This is a non-coding RNA of Rattus norvegicus (Norway rat), 7039 nucleotides long. The record is from RefSeq and is a predicted model, not a curated record. NCBI's taxonomy places the organism in Eukaryota, Metazoa, Chordata, Mammalia, Rodentia, Muridae.